AACAGAUGACAAAAAUGAAGAGGAUGUGCCUCCAGAGGAGGAAAGGGAUUUGGGUGGUAAAUCCCAGAAUCAGAAGGCCACGGAAGAGCCUGAAAUCUUCAGAAGGCUGGGCUGAGAAGAACAAUGCACGUGCCUCCAGAGGAGGAAAGGGAUUUGGGUGCUGAAUCCCAGAAUCAGGCGGCCAUGGAAGAGCCUGACAUCCAUCUGACAUGGACUGAGAAGAACAAUGCAAAGACUAGAACAAGUGAGAUGUUUUACAGCUCCAGAAAGCUAAGCAAACCACCUCACAGACUGAGAACAUAAGGAUCGACACCGUCUUAACAAGGAUGACGUUGGGGCUUUGAUAGAUUGCUCCACGAGGAGCAGUAGUCUUAAUGCCAUGAAGAUUUGCCAGAAUAAUAACCAGCGACCUUAGCAAGUAAAACCCAAGUCUCGGAAUCCGAAUGUGUUCAUCAGUAUGCUCCCUGGCACUAAUGGUAACAAGCGUUUGACCUCCAGGGUGACAACAAUCCACAGCACCUUAAAUCCCACUUAGGUUCUCUAAGUGCAGGUGGCAGCUCAAACCUCCACAGAAACUGCUGAGAUGAAGAUGGAGCACUGGAUGCUAUGGCCAGCUGGCUCCAGAGGCAGUUUUCACACAAAGGAGGAGGUCAAGUGCAAUUUUUUUCUGCCCUUCAAAGCUAAGUAGGUUUCUCUCUGAGGGUUCCAGCCUCUAUGGCUGUCACCCUAAAAUUGACAGCGUUUUACCCGUGCCUGUGUAAAGCAUGAAAUCUUGUAGGUAUCAGCUAAGCAGCUUCCUGAGUGGAAGCUACACAGAGAUGUGCGAGCAGACAGCAUGAAAUUCAACAGUGAGCUGACCAAAGAGACAAUCACCGAUUCCUUCUUAUGCCUGAGGGUUCUGAUCCUCCAGUCCUGCUCAGUUUUUCUGUGCUUCCCGGAGCUAGAGCUUGGUAUGAAACAGGAAUCUCCAGCACGAGAUAAAGCAGUAGCUUAUGGACUGAUGUACUACCUUCAGCCACCACCAUGUGCAUCUAAGGGAGAGAAGAGCUGUACCAGACAUUUCUCCACAGCCCACAGAGUGCCCUUGAUACUCACUCACUCCCUUUGGUUCACUGACACCUCGAGAGAGGACAGAAGCACAAUUACCAUGUCUCACUGGAAGAGGACUCAAGACAGACACCAUAUUUGGAUCUCCAUAGCAUUCUUGGUUUUUCAGUGUUUCAGAAACUUGCCUCUGUGGCUCCCUUUUCCUUCUGCAGGACUUCCACCCACAAGUCAGCCUAGAUACUGCAGCUGAAGGAUAACCAGCACUGUGUGGCAAAACCAGCUGGAAGAGCAGGUGGAAAAAGAAAAAUCAGUUGAGGGCAUGCAUUUUUGAGGGACGGCACACGCGAUGGAGCGCUGACUCUGCCCAUCUCUGGAAAUGGAAGUGAUGGUGCCUCCGAGUGAAACUGGAUAAACGCAGAGAGAAAUUACUUCCACUCAGAGCAGUGUUCUGUUCUGUUUCUUAAGUAUCCUUUUAAUGUUGUUAAUAGAUCGUCUUAAAAAUAAAUUAUUUAAGGAGGCUUAUCUUUAAAAAUGC
This 1582-nucleotide long non-coding RNA is filed under the name Calidris pugnax (ruff). RNAcentral's name for it is "lncRNA (ENSCPUG00000019296.1)". The record is from RNAcentral. Lineage: Eukaryota; Metazoa; Chordata; Aves; Charadriiformes; Scolopacidae.